Passer domesticus (house sparrow) is the source of this 201-nucleotide long non-coding RNA. RefSeq lists it as uncharacterized. Lineage: Eukaryota; Metazoa; Chordata; Aves; Passeriformes; Passeridae. The transcript has 2 exons. The record is from RefSeq and is a predicted model, not a curated record.
GGAAUGACUGAGCACACGGAAAACCUCCCCUGUCAAAACACAAGUUUAUUUGCCAUGGUCUCAUGAAGAACACUUCCAACUUUUCCUAUGCUCCUCCUCAGGGGGAGCAGAGCAAACAAAGCAAAGGAACAGUUGACAAGGUGCUGCCACUUCGUUCUCUUUAGGAAAGGAGGCAAUGCAGCCAAAGCCAUUAUAAAUUCC